GCCACUGGUUUGCAUCCCUCGGCCAUUAAAGAAUGAAAUUAUAGCUUGAAAAUCCAUCCAAGCAGGAUAUGCAAUCAUACCAACCAUCUUCAAUGUUGCAUCAUGUGUUUGGGGCUGAUGCAGGGGCACAAUUUAAGAGCAUUGUGCAUGCGCAACACAUAACAGUUUCAUUUGAACAUACCAUAUAUUAUAUUUGGAAUGAUAAUUUACACUUAACAAAUGUAAAUUUAUACAAAAAUAUAGCAAGAUCUAUUUUGCAUUGUGACAAAAUGCAACAUAAAAAAAAUAAAAGCAAUGAUUAUUAGUUAUUAAAUCCAUAUAUAUUAAAAUUAUCAGACCUUUUUUUUAAACUGGUAUAUUUUUUGACCUUUGAAUAAAUUUCAAAUAUAAAUUAUAAAC
Molecule: long non-coding RNA, 399 nt
Filed under: Androctonus crassicauda
Lineage: Eukaryota; Metazoa; Arthropoda; Arachnida; Scorpiones; Buthidae
Source: RNAcentral